Long non-coding RNA from Hippocampus zosterae (dwarf seahorse), 1062 nucleotides. RefSeq lists it as uncharacterized. The record is from RefSeq and is a predicted model, not a curated record. The transcript has 3 exons. Lineage: Eukaryota; Metazoa; Chordata; Actinopteri; Syngnathiformes; Syngnathidae.
GCCUGGUCUAUUUAGUGGAGAUGACGGCGCUGUUGGACGGUAUGCGCUGGUGCGGCUGGAUGGGUUGUGGAGCCGAGGAUUAGGAGAGAGAGGAACGUCGGUGUUGACUGUCGAAACAAAUUUAAGGCCUGGUCUAUUUAGUGGAGAUGACAGAGCUGUUGGACGGUCUGUGCUUGUUGGCUUGUGGAGCAGAGGUCAAUGAGGAGAGGAACGUCAGUGCUGACUGUCGAAACAAAUUUAAGGUACAGAAGUGAACCAAUCUUUUUUUUUUUUUCUUCAGUCAAUGGACACUGUCUUGUUUACUUUCAAACUUGGCUUGUUGCAAACAUGUGCACAUAUUCAGCAUAACAUCUCUGGUCACUGAAAUGACACGCUUCUCUUUCAUCUAGAACUGCUUCAAAUGUGUAUGUGGGAAAAGUGGCUCAGAUUGCAUCACUGUCCGUGUUUUAUGUGUUGUGUGCUACAUCAAACCAGCAUUUGGAAAUGUGGCGCAUUUCCGCUGUUUAUUCUUGUGUUGAUGAAUGUGCACUGUUCCAAUAAAAUCUUCACACUCAGUAUGCUAACCUCCUCACCAACCCUUAACAGUAAACUAUAACCCCAACCCUGUACCCUCACUCCUAACCAAAACCCUCAAAUCACCUACCCUGAACGCUAACCUCCAUAAUCCCUAAGGUAAUGUUAAAUCUUAACCUUUAAUUCUCCCCUUAACCUGACAUAUUGUGUACCAUAACCCAAUUCAUCCGUAAGACUCUAAAUCCGCAACCCCUAAAUCCUAAAAUUAAACUUGAACCCUAACCCUCAUCCAUACUGCAGGCAUGUCCAGCCCUGGGCCUGGAGGGCCACUGUCCUGCCAGUUGUCCAUUCCCGGCUGCAACACACCUGAUUCAGAUGAUCAGCUCAUCAGCCAUCUCUGAAGCAGCAUUGGAACGAUCCUGAUUAUUUGAAUCGGACGUGUUGCUCCUGGCAAAGUUGGAAAAGGGUCAGGACAAGCGUCCCUUGAGGACAGUUUGGACACCCCUGCCUUUUACCCUAAUCCCCCUCACCCAAACCCUAAUUCCCUAA